AUAAACUGUUGUGCCCAAGAUCGCGAAUCUGAGAAACCACCAAGGAGCCGACACCGAUGCAAGCACACGAGGGUUUCUUUACAAGCUCGAGCCUGGGUCCAAGUAUACCCCACGCAGUAGAGCAGGGACUUGGACCCCGAUACUAAGAGGCUUAGCAACUUUAUAGGGGCCAGUGGUCAAUGGGAUGCGCAGAAAGUUGCACAGUCAGGCUGGUCCACUGAGCUGGAUUUACGAUUAGGGUGUGUCCUGGCCUUUGACUAGGGCCGGGCAGUGCCCUAAGCACAAGGCGGGUGCAGCCCAAAAUAGUCAGUCCUGCUCUGCUUGUCCAGGGGUAGGGGAUUUUGUUAAGUUUCCUGGGUCCCACAGCAACCAUCUUUGAUGAGACAUUUCCAGGAUUUCAUUCGUGAUUAUAAAUAUUGAUCUUUUCUCUUACAAUUGAAAUCAACUGGCUCAAGUCCAGUAAAAAUAUGAAUGAGGCUAAAGAUUCAUGGUUUUCAGCCUCCUGGCGGUUUCAUAUUUUGACUGAUCAAACUUCAUUUCAUGAGGCCUUUCUUAUAACUAGGAUAAGUCUUAGCAUUUCUAUGAUUUAAUUGCAAUUAACGAUGACAAAAUGCAUUAAAAUGCUCAAAUGGUUGUAUAAAUUCUGCUGCAUAAAAGGGGCAACAAGUCAUUUGAUAAGAAAUGAUAUGAGAAGUGAGAAUCUACUGCUUGCAAUUGUGCUCACUAUAAGGAAUCUUGAGUCCACUAAGGAUACAUGGCAAUUAUAACAGUAUACUAAGAAGUCAAGAAAGAUGCUCUCAGUAGCCAUACAAUGCCAGAAAUUCUUCUAGGCAAAGGAAAAAGUCAAACACAGCUACUUUGCAAAAUGGCUUCUGAGUCUAUGUUCCAGUAUUUCAAAGAAAUCACAGCCCAAAACUGAAAGUCAGGAGAGUAAGAAAAAGUGACUUAACAUUUGAUAAUGUAUAUAGUUUCUUAGCCAGAUCUUAAUUUUACGGAAGACCUGAAAGGAAAAGAAAUAGCUGAAAGAUUAGGAAAACCGUGAUAAUUCCAGAAAUAUAUUCACAUUUGUUCAUUCUUUCAUUAAAAAAAUUUUU
Molecule: long non-coding RNA, 1094 nt
Filed under: Vulpes vulpes (red fox)
Lineage: Eukaryota; Metazoa; Chordata; Mammalia; Carnivora; Canidae
Description: lncRNA (ENSVVUG00000026372.1)
Source: RNAcentral